AGUGGGAGCCCCACCACCAAAGCGUUUCGCUUUGUGUGGUGCACAAAGAAGCGUAACGACAGCACUGAAUGACGGUUAACGGAGCGCAAGCGACGUUCAACAUACAAAGUCAAGCAGUGGAGCGCUUUGGGGUGGGGUGACUGCGUACCUUUUGUAUAAUGGGUCAGCGACUUAUAUUCUGUAGCAAGGUUAACCGAAUAGGGGAGCCGGAGGGAAACCGAGUCUUAAUUGGGCGUUAAGUUGCAGGGUAUAGACCCGAAACCCGGUGAUCUAGCCAUGGGCAGGUUGAAGGUUGGGUAACACUAACUGGAGGACCGAACCGACUAAUGUUGAAAAAUUAGCGGAUGACCUGUGGCUGGGGGUGAAAGGCCAAUCAAACCGGGAGAUAGCUGGUUCUCCCCGAAAGCUAUUUAGGUAGCGCCUCGUGAAUUCAUCUCCGGGGGUAGAGCACUGUUUCGGCUAGGGGGCCAUCCCGGCUUACCAACCCGAUGCAAACUGCGAAUACCGGAGAAUGUUAUCACGGGAGACACACGGCGGGUGCUAACGUCCGUCGUGAAGAGGGAAACAACCCAGACCGCCAGCUAAGGUCCCAAAGUCAUGGUUAAGUGGGAAACGAUGUGGGAAGGCCCAGACAGCCAGGAUGUUGGCUUAGAAGCAGCCAUCAUUUAAAGAAAGCGUAAUAGCUCACUGGUCGAGUCGGCCUGCGCGGAAGAUGUAACGGGGCUAAACCAUGCACCGAAGCUGCGGCAGCGACGCUUAUGCGUUGUUGGGUAGGGGAGCGUUCUGUAAGCCUGUGAAGGUGGCCUGUGAGGGUUGCUGGAGGUAUCAGAAGUGCGAAUGCUGACAUAAGUAACGAUAAAGCGGGUGAAAAGCCCGCUCGCCGGAAGACCAAGGGUUCCUGUCCAACGUUAAUCGGGGCAGGGUGAGUCGACCCCUAAGGCGAGGCCGAAAGGCGUAGUCGAUGGGAAACGGGUUAAUAUUCCCGUACUUGGUGUUACUGCGAAGGGGGGACGGAGAAGGCUAUGUUGGCCGGGCGACGGUUGUCCCGGUUUAAGCGUGUAGGUGUGUGUUCCAGGUAAAUCCGGUUCACUU
This 1092-nucleotide ribosomal RNA is filed under the name Salmonella enterica subsp. enterica serovar Weltevreden. Its description in RNAcentral is "partial 23S ribosomal RNA". It matches the Rfam family "Bacterial large subunit ribosomal RNA", at positions 1 to 1552 of the family's 2925-position model. The record is from RNAcentral. Lineage: Bacteria; Pseudomonadati; Pseudomonadota; Gammaproteobacteria; Enterobacterales; Enterobacteriaceae.